GCAAACUUGGUCAUUUAGAGGAAGUAAAAGUCGUAACAAGGUCUCCGUUGGUGAACCAGCGGAGGGAUCAUUAUAGAGUUUUCUAAACUCCCAACCCAUGUGAACUUACCAUUGUUGCCUCGGCAGAAGCUGCUCGGUGCACCUUACCCUGGAACGGCCUACCCUGUAGCGCCUUACCCUGGAACGGCUUACCCUGCAACGGCUGCCGGUGGACUACCAAACUCUUGUUAUUUUAUGGUUAUCUGAGCGUCUUAUUUUAAUAAGUCAAAACUUUCAACAACGGAUCUCUUGGUUCUGGCAUCGAUGAAGAACGCAGC
This 317-nucleotide unclassified non-coding RNA is filed under the name uncultured fungus. RNAcentral's name for it is "partial contains small subunit ribosomal RNA, internal transcribed spacer 1, and 5.8S ribosomal RNA". The stretch from base 1 to 73 matches the Rfam family "Eukaryotic small subunit ribosomal RNA", at positions 1759 to 1831 of the family's 1831-position model. The record is from RNAcentral. Lineage: Eukaryota; Fungi.